Gallus gallus (chicken) is the source of this 3223-nucleotide long non-coding RNA. The record is from Ensembl. Lineage: Eukaryota; Metazoa; Chordata; Aves; Galliformes; Phasianidae.
GACAUGGAACUGCAUAUGAAGCAAAGAUGUGAAAUUUAAUUCCUCCCUGCAGAAAAGGCGACAGACGGUGACAUUCACUGAUGCUUGCUGAACAUCUGUGGAGACCUAACAGUGGAAGUGAGCACCAUGAGGUGAUGAGUGGUGUGUUUCAGCAGUGGUGACAGCAACAGUGAAUUACCUCAGCUGAUGCAUGGAUUUACCAUGGGCCUAAUCAACAUGAUAGCCUCCUGUGCCCCAGGCCCUGUGGUGCUGGAGUUGAUGUUCUGCCAAGCAGAGGACCACUGACUGUGCCAGACAGAGAGGGUGGUUGUCCUUGGCAGCAGAACUAAAGACUUUGCUACUUGCUCAGAAUUGCACACCAGCUCCCAUUAGUUCUGCUUGCAUGGAUGGGUAUCCCUUGACCUCCGCUUCCAGGGUUGACUGCACUCCCACAGAAGGAAAGCAGAGAUUUACAGCAUUACCAGCUACCAGAUAAUCCAGCAAGUUACCAGGCCAAAUGGCUCUCUGAACACGAGCCCACAAAGCGCUGAAUGAGGAAGUGCACUGCUCCAGGAGAUUUCAGCACAGCCAGCCAGAAGGUGGCUUUAGCAGUGGUGCUAGAAACAAAAAAAUGGCUUGAAACGCGUAUUAGAAUUCAGUAAAGAGAAACUACGGGGAAGAAAGAAGUACAAGCCAACUGCAGAGCAGGAAAACUGUUGAACAUUCUCCAAUUUCUUUUGACACUUCACAGUGACAGAAACCCCUGUGCUAAAUAUGUUGGUGCUGAGCUGCUGUGAAAAUUUACUGUUCAAUAGCUUCCAGAGUUUCUCAUCUCUUACCUACAGUGAGCAAGCAUAGUGUCUGACCAUUGGGCUUCCUUGCUGAGUAUGGCUGUCUACUGAGUAGCUCAAAGACUUUUAAAGGAUUUUGUGAACUAUGUUUCCAAGGUGCCCUCUACUUUUAAUCUCCUUAUGACUGGAAAUUGUUGGUCCAUGGCGCUAUUGGUGAGAAGCAAAGCUACUGAACUUUGUGAAUCAGCAAAUGAAUGAAAAAUCACUGGGACUAACAAUGCCUGUUGGAUCUUAAAAGAAAAUAACACUUCAUAACGUGCUUCAUUUUGACAAACACAAUUUCAUUGUAAUUUGAAGUAGCAACACUUGGCAAUAUAUUGAAUCUUCGUUUUUCUUAGGUCACGUGCUGGCUGGCUGGCAGCUGGGUCCAAGGAUUGAAGGUAAAAGACACAGAGGUGGAAAUGAAACACAAGGUCAUUUAAUUUACAAUCCUUCAUUUUGCUCAGCAACUUUUUGACUAGUAUCAUUUUAACACUAUUGAUGAUCUCAACUGAUUAUUUCCUGUAGAGAGUGUUCACAGCCUAAUAUUAAUUGCACAACACUGUAAAAUUUCCAAAAAAUUUGAAGGGGUUAAAACAAAAUGGUACUGCAGCUUUCUGCUAUUAGAUAUCUGCUAAUGGGAGCACAUGAUGAAGGUUAGAGUAAAUUAAUUGCUUGAUUAUACAACCCUUGGAUCUUGCGUUCAUAGGCUAAGUAACAAAUCAGUGUUUCUGUAUAUUUUUAUUCUAAUUACAUAAUGAUAUAGUAGAGUGUAGGGACAGUCAUCCCAAUGGUAAUUUUUAAUUGUGGAAGUUCAGAGACUUCUGGGUAGGUUGGAACAGUAGCUGAACCUGCUGCUCUGUUUUUGGUUUUGCUCACACUGAAAUGUAGGAAAGCCUCUUAGUGGGAUGCAUGCAUGCAUGUCUAGGAAUACUGGCACUGCUUGGUUUCACUAAUUUUUUUUUUUUUAAUAGACAAAGUGGAUUUUCUGCCCAACUUAGAAACAUAAAUCUGCCAAGAUGUAUAACAAAGACUAAGUCAUGGACAAAGCAGCCAGAGGAAACUCUGAAACUGUCUGAUAGCACUGGGGUAACAGAACGUCACACUAAGCUGCAACACCUCAUCCGCCAGCAAGCUCCUUUGGACUGUAGCUGCCCUAUAACGUUUCUCACAUAUGCAUGGAACUAUGAAAUUCAGUGUUCCAGCACAACAUUAGUUAGAUUUAGCUUUGGUGCUUGGCUGCUGGUUACUGCUGAAAAAACAGAGGUUUGCUUUGCUAAAGCAUCCAAAAUGAAAUUUGCUUGCUGUUGCUGCACUAAGUUGCCAUCCAGCAUGCACUGAAGAAAAAAAUCCUGGUUAUUUUCCCAUGGCUCCCUUAGCCAUACAAGUGCUAGGUGGGAAUGCACCUUCCUUGUGAAAAUGGACUGUGGAGAACAGAUCAGCUGGAUUCUCAGGUUGUUCUCCUGGGGCCUUGGCAGGCUGGGACUCAGAGCUGCAGGCAGCCUCCCUUCCACUCAACCUCUGCAGGGUGAGCAAAACAGUGCUUCUACCUCCAUGUAGCUCUGUUUUGUAUAUGUCCUCUGUUCACUGCAAACAUAUGAAAGACACAUGUUUUAUUGCAGAUUUUUUUGGCAUGCAGACAAAGUGCAAGGAGAGGGGCUAAUUAGGCUUCAGGGUGGCACCUCCCUCUAGCAUCAUAAAUAAAAGCUAUUUAACAAAAAAUAUAAUAGGAUGCCAGUAAAAAUGCUUGGAAAUAGAAUUACAAUAGCCAAACUUGUAUUUUGUAAGUUGUUUACCAUAAAUGAAAUAAAGUACAAAGGAAAUGGAAAAUGUGGUAACUGUACUGAAUGCCUUUAUAUAGUUUUCAGAUGCCUCUCGGAGUUAUAUUUUAUUUCCUCUCAAUAUGUUUAUAGACUCUGUGUGGAAGGUCAUACUAUUUUUCCCUAGAGUUUUUUUCCUUCUGUCUUGGCUAAACCUUCCUAGAAGAGUUUUGGAACUUGGCAGUGUAAGAAACUUAAGACAGAGAAGCAGACUUCCCUUCCUAGACAUAUGUCAAUUUGAAAAUAUGAAAAAAAAAAGUUGCAGUAAAUAUAAAUCAAACACCAUGUGAUCUGCAGCAAAGUAGAGGGUUUUACCUAUCAAUCAGCUCUGAAGAUCCCAAAUUUAGUGCAACUAUGUUGAAGAUCACCAUCCUAUCUGCAGUCUCUACGUAGCUCUUAUGAUGACUAAUAUACCUUUCUUAUCUAAAACUAUUAGAGAAUGCUUUUUGCAAGUUAGCACUGGCAGUCACAAGUGAGUGGACACCAUCAUUUUUAACUUAGGUAACAUUCCAACAAAGUAACUGUGUCAUAUCCUUGUGUCAAGAAGGCUCUAGAUCUGAGACUUACCAGGCUAAGGUACAAACAAGAACUGGC